RNAcentral lists this ribosomal RNA (1362 nucleotides) under metagenome. RNAcentral's name for it is "bacterial LSU rRNA". It matches the Rfam family "Bacterial large subunit ribosomal RNA", at positions 1548 to 2925 of the family's 2925-position model. The record is from RNAcentral.
AAAUAAUGCUGGGGUACGAUGCGGAGCGAAAUUUAGUAGCGAAGUAGCUGAUUUCACACUGUCGAGAAAAGUCUCUAUCGAGGUUAAAGGUGCCUGUACCGCAAACCGACACAGGUGGGUGAGGAGAGUAUCCUAAGGCCAGCGAGAGAACUGUUGUUAAGGAACUCGGCAAAAUGACCCCGUAACUUCGGGAGAAGGGGUGCCUUCGAAAGAAGGCCGCAGAGAAUAGGCCCAAGCGACUGUUUACCAAAAACAUAGGUUUCUGCUAAGUCGCAAGACGAUGUAUAGGAGCUGACGCCUGCCCGGUGCUGGAAGGUUAAGGGGAUCUGUUAGAGCAAUCGAAGCAGUGAACUUAAGCCCCAGUAAACGGCGGCCGUAACCAUAACGGUCCUAAGGUAGCGAAAUUCCUUGUCGGGUAAGUUCCGACCCGCACGAAAGGCGUAACGAUUUGGGCACUGUCUCAACAACAGACUCGGUGAAAUUGUAAUACCGGUGAAGAUGCCGGUUACCUGCGACAGGACGGAAAGACCCCAUGGAGCUUUACUGUAGCUUGACAUUGAGUCUCGGUGCUACAUGUACAGGAUAGGUGGGAGACUAUGAAGCAUGGACGUCAGUCUGUGUGGAGUCAUCCUUGGGAUACCACCCUUGUAGUACUGGGAUUCUAACCAGAGGCCAUGAAUCUGGUCUUGGGACACUGUCAGGUGGACAGUUUGACUGGGGCGGUCGCCUCCCAGAAAGUAACGGAGGCGCUCAAAGGUUCUCUCAGUACGGUCGGAAAUCAUACGAAGAGUGUAAAGGCAAAAGAGAGCUUGAUUGCAAGACAUACAGGUCGAGCAAGGACGAAAGUCGGACUUAGCGAUCCGGUGGUUCCGCAUGGAAGGGCCAUCGCUCAACGGAUAAAAGCUACCCUGGGGAUAACAGGCUGAUCUCCCCCAAGAGUCCACAUCGACGGGGAGGUUUGGCACCUCGAUGUCGGCUCAUCACAUCCUGGGGCUGUAGUAGGUCCCAAGGGUUGGGCUGUUCGCCCAUUAAAGUGGUACGCGAGCUGGGUUCAGAACGUCGUGAGACAGUUCGGUCCCUAUCCGUCGCAGGCGUAGGAAAUUUGAGGAGACCUGUCCUUAGUACGAGAGGACCGGGAUGGACGUACCGCUGGUGUACCAGUUGUUCUGCCAAGGGCAUGGCUGGGUAGCUAAGUACGGAAAGGAUAAGCGCUGAAAGCAUCUAAGCGCGAAGCCCACUUCAAGAUAAGAUUUCCCACCGCAAGGUUAAGAUCCCAGGAAGACUACCUGGUUGAUAGGUCAGAGGUGUAAGUGCAGUAAUGUAUUUAGCUUACUGAUACUAAUAGAUCGAGGACUUGACAAA